AGCCAUGCCGCGUGUGUGAAGAAGGCCUUCGGGUUGUAAAGCACUUUCAGCAGUGAGGAAGGUAGUGUACUUAAUACGUGCAUUGCUUGACGUUAGCUGCAGAAGAAGCACCGGCUAACUCCGUGCCAGCAGCCGCGGUAAUACGGAGGGUGCGAGCGUUAAUCGGAAUUACUGGGCGUAAAGCGCAUGCAGGCGGUUUGUUAAGUCAGAUGUGAAAGCCCGGGGCUCAACCUCGGAACCGCAUUUGAAACUGGCAGGCUAGAGUCUUGUAGAGGGGGGUAGAAUUUCAGGUGUAGCGGUGAAAUGCGUAGAGAUCUGAAGGAAUACCAGUGGCGAAGGCGGCCCCCUGGACAAAGACUGACGCUCAGAUGCGAAAGCGUGGGUAGCAAACAGGAUUAGAUACCCUGGUAGUCCACGCCGUAAACGAUGUCUACUUGGAGGCUGAGGUUUAAGACUUUGGCUUUCGGAGCUAACGCAUUAAGUAGACCGCCU
RNAcentral lists this ribosomal RNA (492 nucleotides) under Salinivibrio costicola. RNAcentral's name for it is "bacterial SSU rRNA". It matches the Rfam family "Bacterial small subunit ribosomal RNA", at positions 390 to 874 of the family's 1533-position model. The record is from RNAcentral. Lineage: Bacteria; Pseudomonadati; Pseudomonadota; Gammaproteobacteria; Vibrionales; Vibrionaceae.